CCAGGUUUUUAUUUUGGUUAUAACUAAUUAAUACACAUUGGUGCACCUACCAGUUCUAACAGUAUUCAGUAUUUUAGAAACAGUUUGAGGUUUAGUUGAUACAUUCAAAUAACCUUUUGAAAAAUAAUACUAAUAAUACAUAUGGGACCAGCUUGUCUCACCUUGAGUAGAAGUCACUGAUUAUUAUUACAUACACAUUACUUACACAUAUUACACAAAUUGCAGUAUACAAAUCUUCUGCAUCAAACAGGACUAAAUUUGAUGUAGUUGUCUGUUUUUGUAUCUGCCUUCUGGCACGAAUAUUCUCAUGUUUAACAUAUAAGAGCAGGACCAGUAUGACUGACAUGCACCACAGUAAAGUGGAAAAUAAAUCAAGCAGUUGAGACACGCCUGUCAGAGCACUUCGAGCAUGUUGAAAUUACAGCUAUUCAAAAGCACAUGACAUGCACCGGGAAGGGAGGGCGAGUUAUGGAAAAGUUCCACUCGGAAGUCUAAUUCCAAAGGUUGCAUAAUGUGUUUAGACAGUGUUUAGCAAACAGGAGCUAUGCCAACCUCUACAUACAUUAUAAAUGAAUAACAAUGUAUGAGAAGGUCGUUAUUCAGUCAUUCAUAAUUUCUUCCAUUGAGUUUUGAUUUAAUUCUGCAAGAAAAAAACAUGUUAAAUUACAUAGACAAUAUAACAAACACAACAAAGAGCCUCAAAUCAAUCAAAAUAUUUCUUUACAUGAAGAUAUGUCAGCAUAAAAUACUUCUCUUCAUUCAUGUGACAAUAUGUUGUCACAUAUUUCAUCUGUUCAUAUUUCAUUCAAACAAGGUGUAGAAAAAAACUAAAACUUCAAACUCUUGGCCAAAUAAUACACUUUUGUGAAACAUAUGAUACAACAAGAUUGUAUCUUCUUCUUUUUCUCUAAACUGGGUUCACACUGACUGAAGUUCAAUGUAAUUUUUUUUUGAGGCCAUCAAUGGACAAUGAGGAGUACUGGAGUUAAAGGAGUUGAAUGAGAUGUUUCUGUCAUUUAAUCCACAAACUAUUAAAUACAUACAACAUGUGAUCCCACCGAAGAAAACGGAAAACUUUCACAUUGUCAGACUGUCAUGUGUUUUUUGUUAUAUUGGUAUGAAAAAAAAUUAUAAGGAAGAUUGAAAAUAGAAAAUAACUUGUAUAUGUUAUUUCACGACUGCGGGGAUAUGAAAGGGUCAUCUUAUCUUAUUAAAAUUUGUACCUGCACAAGAAAAUUUGCUUCACUACUUUCAAAUAAUUUCGCAUAAUUUCGAUCGACCGGUCAAUCUUCAUUCCUACCCUCACCUAUGGUCAUGAAGGAUGGGUCAUGACCGAAAAAACUAGGUCAAGGGUACAAGCGGCCAAAAUGGGUUUCCUCAGGAGAGUGGCUGGCGUCUCCCUUAGAGAUCGGGUGAGAAGCUCAGCCAUUCGUGAGGAGCUCGGAGUAGAGCCGCUGCUCCUUUGCGUCGAAAGGAGCCAGUUGAGGUGGUUUGGGCAUCUGGUGAGGAUGCCCCCUGGGCGCCUCCCUAGAGAGGUGUUCCACGCACGGCCAGCUGGGAAGACCCAGGACUAGGUGGAGAGAUUAUAUCUCUGCACUGGCCUCAGAGCUGGUAGAUGUGGCCCGAGAUAUAUAUAUAUAUAUAUAUAUAUAUAUAUAUAUAUAUGACCUUUAUAAUAUAUAUAUAUAUAUAUAUGUAUACAUAUGCCAUACGUCAAGCCCUGUAUAUAUAUACAGUAUACAGGGCUUGACAUCAACAUUUUUGCUCAACACCCACUGGCAUGGUGUUUUCCAAAGUUAGUAGCCACUCAGCAAUUUCAUUAGCCACAAUUUUUGUUGUUGGGAAUUGAGUUUAAUUUGAUAAAAGACAAAAAGAGUAGCUCAUUGCAUAUAACUAGAGCAGAGGUGUGAAGCUCCUGGACUUCCUGAACCCCAGCCCCAACCCCUUACCGCAACACUUUGUUGUCUGACACGGCCAACGAUAUCUCAUUGACCUUCAUUGACCUGGGACCUGUAAAAAUGACCUGUAAAAGUUGCUUCUCCCAACUAAAAAAGAGACCCACUUAAACUUUCACUCCUAUACGUCAUAAUAUCAGAACAAUACAUUAUUUUCUUGGCCGGAUCAUGAAACAGACGUUCUCUACUGUACCUCCACGACCUUUUCUUUUAUUUUGACUCCUCUUUACUUUCGCUUUCAGCACCACUCUUUUGUGUUUGCCCUCCGGGUUUUCCUACUACACUUGCUCUGUGCCACCACAUACUCGCCUUGCACUGAGCCGUCUGAGCCGUGUUUUGAGAAGACAACAGUAACGGACUGUCUCACCCAGCCGGGGGAAAUGGAGGAGGCAGGCAGGUCCGCAUGGACAUUAAAAUAAUGUUUAGUUUUUUUGUCAAAAUUGCUGUGAUGACAAAAGGUAAUAUUUCAUGAAUAAAUUGAUGAAUAUCGUCUGAUUUAAAUCAAACUAAAUUGUGUCUGAAAGAAAA
Molecule: long non-coding RNA, 2483 nt
Organism: Gasterosteus aculeatus aculeatus (three-spined stickleback)
Lineage: Eukaryota; Metazoa; Chordata; Actinopteri; Perciformes; Gasterosteidae
Source: Ensembl